UGCAGUCGAGGGGCAGCACGGGAGCAAUCCUGGUGGCGACCGGCAAACGGGUGCGGAACACGUACGCAACCUUCCCAUAACUGGUGAAUAGCCUUUCGAAAGAGAGAUUAAUACACCGUAACAUAACGAAGAGGCAUCUCUUUGUUAUUAUAGUAGCAAUACGGUUUUGGAUGGGCGUGCGCCUGAUUAGCUAGUUGGCAGUGUAAUGGACUACCAAGGCGACGAUCAGUAGCUGGUCUGAGAGGACGAUCAGCCACACUGGGACUGAGACACGGCCCAGACUCCUACGGGAGGCAGCAGUGGGGAAUUUUCCGCAAUGGGCGAAAGCCUGACGGAGCAAUACCGCGUGAGGGAGGAAGGCUCUUGGGUCGUAAACCUCUUUUCUCAGGGAAGAACACAAUGACGGUACCUGAGGAAUAAGCAUCGGCUAACUCCGUGCCAGCAGCCGCGGUAAUACGGAGGAUGCAAGCGUUAUCCGGAAUGAUUGGGCGUAAAGCGUCCGCAGGUGGCGAAGUAAGUCUGCUGUUAAAGCGUCUAGCUCAACUAGAUAAGAGCAGUGGAAACUACUUACGCUAGAGUGCGUUCGGGGCAGAGGGAAUUCCUGGUGUAGCGGUGAAAUGCGUAGAGAUCAGGAAGAACACCAGUGGCGAAGGCGCUCUGCUAGGCCGCAACUGACACUGAGGGACGAAAGCUAGGGGAGCGAAUGGGAUUAGAUACCCCAGUAGUCCUAGCCGUAAACGAUGGAUACUAGGCGUGGCUUGUAUCGACCCGAGCCGUGCCGUAGCUAACGCGUUAAGUAUCCCGCCUGGGGAGUACGCCGGCAACGGUGAAACUCAAAGGAAUUGACGGGGGCCCGCACAAGCGGUGGAGUAUGUGGUUUAAUUCGAUGCAACGCGAAGAACCUUACCAAGGCUUGACAUGUCGCGAAUCUUCUUGAAAGGGGAGAGUGCCUUCGGGAAGCGCGAACCAGGUGGUGCAUGGCUGUCGUCAGC
This 992-nucleotide ribosomal RNA is filed under the name uncultured Nostoc sp. Its description in RNAcentral is "bacterial SSU rRNA". It matches the Rfam family "Bacterial small subunit ribosomal RNA", at positions 56 to 1059 of the family's 1533-position model. The record is from RNAcentral. Lineage: Bacteria; Bacillati; Cyanobacteriota; Cyanophyceae; Nostocales; Nostocaceae.